GACAGAGGGUGCAAACGUUGUUCGGAAUUACUGGGCGUAAAGCGCGUGUAGGCGGUCGCGUAAGUCGGAUGUGAAAGCCCUCGGCUUAACCGGGGAAGUGCACCCGAAACUGCGUGACUUGAGUCCCGGAGAGGAUAGUGGAAUUCUCGGUGUAGAGGUGAAAUUCGUAGAUAUCGAGAGGAACACCGGUGGCGAAGGCGGCUAUCUGGACGGUGACUGACGCUGAGACGCGAAAGCGUGGGGAG
This 245-nucleotide ribosomal RNA is filed under the name uncultured bacterium. Its description in RNAcentral is "partial 16S ribosomal RNA". It matches the Rfam family "Bacterial small subunit ribosomal RNA", at positions 524 to 768 of the family's 1533-position model. The record is from RNAcentral.